CCCUUAGAGUUUGAUCCUGGCUCAGGAUGAACGCUAGCUACAGGCUUAACACAUGCAAGUCGAGGGGCAGCGGGAUUGAAGCUUGCUUCAAUUGCCGGCGACCGGCGCACGGGUGAGUAACGCGUAUCCAACCUUCCGUACACUCAGGGAUAGCCUUUCGAAAGAAAGAUUAAUACCUGAUGGUAUGAUGAGAUUGCAUGAUAGCAUCAUUAAAGAUUUAUCAGUGUACGAUGGGGAUGCGUUCCAUUAGGUAGUAGGCGGGGUAACGGCCCACCUAGCCAACGAUGGAUAGGGGUUCUGAGAGGAAGGUCCCCCACAUUGGAACUGAGACACGGUCCAAACUCCUACGGGAGGCAGCAGUGAGGAAUAUUGGUCAAUGGACGAGAGUCUGAACCAGCCAAGUAGCGUGAAGGAUGAAGGUCCUACGGAUUGUAAACUUCUUUUAUAAGGGAAUAAACCCUCCCACGUGUGGGAGCUUGUAUGUACCUUAUGAAUAAGCAUCGGCUAACUCCGUGCCAGCAGCCGCGGUAAUACGGAGGAUGCGAGCGUUAUCCGGAUUUAUUGGGUUUAAAGGGAGCGCAGACGGGUCGUUAAGUCAGCUGUGAAAGUUUGGGGCUCAACCUUAAAAUUGCAGUUGAUACUGGCGUCCUUGAGUGCGGUUGAGGUGUGCGGAAUUCGUGGUGUAGCGGUGAAAUGCUUAGAUAUCACGAAGAACUCCGAUUGCGAAGGCAGCACACUAAUCCGUAACUGACGUUCAUGCUCGAAAGUGUGGGUAUCAAACAGGAUUAGAUACCCUGGUAGUCCACACGGUAAACGAUGGAUACUCGCUGUUGGCGAUAUACUGUCAGCGGCUUAGCGAAAGCGUUAAGUAUCCCACCUGGGGAGUACGCCGGCAACGGU
Molecule: ribosomal RNA, 900 nt
Filed under: uncultured bacterium
Lineage: Bacteria
Description: bacterial SSU rRNA
Rfam family: Bacterial small subunit ribosomal RNA
Source: RNAcentral